RNAcentral lists this ribosomal RNA (555 nucleotides) under Triticum aestivum (bread wheat). Its description in RNAcentral is "partial small subunit ribosomal RNA". Lineage: Eukaryota; Viridiplantae; Streptophyta; Magnoliopsida; Poales; Poaceae. The record is from RNAcentral.
AUGUCGGCUAUGGCUAGCGACGAGGGUUCGUGGAGGCUGGCGGGUGAGAACAGGGUGGUCGGCGUGAAGCGUGCUGGCAGGAAAAAGGCUACAUCGUCUGUGGUCUCCGGCUCCGGCUCGGAGAGGCAUAUCGUGGGGAAAGCCCCGGCGAUUGACCAGAUGACCAAGGAGGAGGAGAAGAAGAAGAAGAACCAAAGCAAGGGGCUGCCGCAGGCGUCGCCGGGUGCAGGCAAGCGUCUCCUGCCGCACGACGAGAUCAUGACGAUCUUGUCCAUGAAGGACGAGCCACGCGAGAGCGACACCGCGGAGGACAAGAAGGUGGUGGCAGAGUGGCUUGAGUUUCAGGAGGAGGUGAAGCGAGAGUACAUGGCCAAGGGCUACGUGGAGAUGGAUGAGGAGUGCUUCGUCGAGAGAGAGAAGAAGAAGCUGCUGCUCAAGGAAGCGUGGGAUAAGAUCGACUUCGGCGGGCUCGUCUUCCUCGACUCAGACGACGACAGCUAUGUCGUGAAAGAUCAGGGCGGCCCUCGUUGGGCAGACGGGAUCGUCCGGGAGUAA